CUACGGGGGGCAGCAGUGGGGAAUAUUGCACAAUGGGCGCAAGCCUGAUGCAGCCAUGCCGCGUGUAUGAAGAAGGCCUUCGGGUUGUAAAGUACUUUCAGCGGGGAGGAAGGGAGUAAAGUUAAUACCUUUGCUCAUUGACGUUACCCGCAGAAGAAGCACCGGCUAACUCCGUGCCAGCAGCCGCGGUAAUACGGAGGGUGCAAGCGUGUAAUCGGAAUUACUGGGCGUAAAGCGCACGCAGGCGGUUUGUUAAGUCAGAUGUGAAAUCCCCGGGCUCAACCUGGGAACUGCAUCUGAUACUGGCCAGCUUGAGUCUCGUAGAGGGGGGUAGAAUUCCAGGUGUAGCGGUGAAAUGCGUAGAGAUCUGGAGGAAUACCGGUGGCGAAGGCGGCCCCCUGGACGAAGACUGACGCUCAGGUGCGAAAGCGUGGGGAGCAAACAGGAUUAGAUACCCGUGUAGUC
This 465-nucleotide ribosomal RNA is filed under the name uncultured bacterium. RNAcentral describes it as "partial 16S ribosomal RNA". It matches the Rfam family "Bacterial small subunit ribosomal RNA", at positions 339 to 795 of the family's 1533-position model. The record is from RNAcentral.